RNAcentral lists this transfer RNA (72 nucleotides) under Chelonia mydas (Green sea turtle). It matches the Rfam family "tRNA". From Rfam's summary of the family: Transfer RNA (tRNA) molecules are approximately 80 nucleotides in length. The record is from Rfam by way of RNAcentral. Lineage: Eukaryota; Metazoa; Chordata; Testudines; Cheloniidae.
GGCAGCAUUGCCUAGUGGCUAGGGCACUGAAUUACAAUUCAGGAGCCCAUGGUUCAAUUCCUGGCUUUGCCA